AAUAAUAAACGGUACAACAAACAUAUUUGAACCUGGUCAGGACCGGAAGGUAGCAGCCAUAAGAAUCCCUGUUUGUGUGUACCCUUUUUAUUUUCUUGA
This 99-nucleotide signal recognition particle RNA is filed under the name Holdemania filiformis DSM 12042. RNAcentral's name for it is "Bacterial signal recognition particle RNA". It matches the Rfam family "Bacterial small signal recognition particle RNA". From Rfam's summary of the family: The signal recognition particle (SRP) is a universally conserved ribonucleoprotein involved in the co-translational targeting of proteins to membranes. Archaeal SRP consists of a 7S RNA and homologues of the eukaryotic SRP19 and SRP54 proteins. The record is from RNAcentral. Lineage: Bacteria; Bacillati; Bacillota; Erysipelotrichia; Erysipelotrichales; Erysipelotrichaceae.